AACGUAGGAGGCAAGCGUUAUCCGGAAUUACUGGGCGUAAAGGGCGUCUAGGCGGUGGCUCAAGCGCGGUGUGAAAGCGCCCGGCUCAACUGGGCGAGUGCGCUGCGAACUGAUCGACUAGAGGGCAGGCGACGGCGGUGGAAUUCCCGGUGGAGUGGUGAAAUGCGCAGAUAUCGGGAGGAACACCAAUGGCGAAGGCAGCUCGCUGGGACGGUACUGACGCUGAGACGCGAAAGCGUGGGGAGCAAACAGG
Molecule: ribosomal RNA, 253 nt
Filed under: uncultured bacterium
Lineage: Bacteria
Description: partial 16S ribosomal RNA
Rfam family: Bacterial small subunit ribosomal RNA
Source: RNAcentral